UAGGAGUCAAAGCUUGGUCCCUUG
Molecule: non-coding RNA, 24 nt
Filed under: Rattus norvegicus (Norway rat)
Lineage: Eukaryota; Metazoa; Chordata; Mammalia; Rodentia; Muridae
Source: RNAcentral